AUGAACGCUAGCGACAGGCCUAACACAUGCAAGUCGAGGGGCAGCACAAGGAGCAAUCUGAGGUGGCGACCGGCGCACGGGUGAGUAACACGUAUGCAACCUGCCUGUAAGCGGGGAAUAACCCGUUGAAAGACGGACCAAUACCGCAUAAUACUAAAUUACUGCAUGGUAAUUUAUUUAAACAUUUAUGGCUUACAGAUGGGCAUGCGCAUGAUUAGCUAGUUGGAGAGGUAACGGCUCCCCAAGGCAACGAUCAUUAGGGGUUCUGAGAGGAAGGUCCCCCACACUGGUACUGAGACACGGACCAGACUCCUACGGGAGGCAGCAGUGAGGAAUAUUGGUCAAUGGACGAGAGUCUGAACCAGCCAAGUCGCGUGCAGGAAGAAUGUCCCUAUGGAUUGUAAACUGCUUUUGCAGGGGAAUAAAGUGCAUCACGUGUGAUGUUUUGUAUGUACUCUGCGAAUAAGGAUCGGCUAACUCCGUGCCAGCCGCGGC
Molecule: ribosomal RNA, 495 nt
Filed under: uncultured bacterium
Lineage: Bacteria
Description: bacterial SSU rRNA
Rfam family: Bacterial small subunit ribosomal RNA
Source: RNAcentral